This 412-nucleotide long non-coding RNA is filed under the name Equus caballus (horse). RNAcentral describes it as "lncRNA (ENSECAG00000050152.1)". The record is from RNAcentral. Lineage: Eukaryota; Metazoa; Chordata; Mammalia; Perissodactyla; Equidae.
CUACAGGACACCCCAAGUUUCCCUGCGUCCUCUCCUGCCACCCUGAAACCUGUUCUUCACACAACAGCCUGACUCAUCUCUUAAAAUAUGACCGCCAACAACCUCCCAACUGGAUACCUAAAUCUGAGGGUAACUCUUCUAACUGGUGAUUGACAUCUGCCGAAGCAAAGAAUCAGGCAUUCACCAUCUUCUACAACCUGGUCUCACCCAAGUGGAUCCGAAGCUGUUUUCCCAAGAGGAUACUUUACUCUUCUGAGCAGAGUGCCUCCCUUUUCCCAUUCAUCUCCCCUCCAAAAUCCAGUUUAAAUAUCCUUUCCAGAAAUGUUCCGAAUUCCCAUCAGCCAGGUUUUCCCCCUUCCCCCUCUAACUGUUCUCUGCUCACGCCACUUAAUACUUUCUUUUUAGCCUAUUU